RNAcentral lists this unclassified non-coding RNA (330 nucleotides) under uncultured fungus. RNAcentral describes it as "sequence contains ITS1". The stretch from base 1 to 103 matches the Rfam family "5.8S ribosomal RNA", at positions 50 to 154 of the family's 154-position model. The record is from RNAcentral. Lineage: Eukaryota; Fungi.
GAAGUGCGAUAAGCAGUGCGAAUUGCAGAACCGUGAGUCAUCAGAUUUUUGAACGCAACUGGCACUAGAUGGCUCUCCAUCUAGUAUGUUUGUUUCAGUGUCUUGUUUUCUCUUCACCCAAAUCUUAAUGCUGGAGAUACCCUUCUCUUGAUAAGUAAGAAAGCACUCUACACUCUGCAGGCAGUCUCGCUCGUCGAGGGUUGCACUCAAUGCAGCAGUCACAUUUUAUGUGAACUCAUUGAGAGUGGAGGUAGCGCAGUUCACUGCUAGUGCUUAGUCUCUCAAACUCUCUUGUAUCUGAAAUCAAGCAGGAUAACCCGCUGAACUUAA